Molecule: ribosomal RNA, 2123 nt
Filed under: Bacteroides fragilis str. 3986T(B)10
Lineage: Bacteria; Pseudomonadati; Bacteroidota; Bacteroidia; Bacteroidales; Bacteroidaceae
Description: bacterial LSU rRNA
Rfam family: Bacterial large subunit ribosomal RNA
Source: RNAcentral
GAGAGACCGAUAGCGAACCAGUACUGUGAAGGAAAGGUGAAAAGCACUUCGAAUAGAAGAGUGAAAUAGUCCCUGAAACCAUGCGCCUACAAGCGGUCGGAGCAGCUUAAGUUGUGACGGCGUGCCUUUUGCAUAAUGAACCUACGAGUUACUUUUUCCGGCAAGGUUAAGCAUCUUGAGAUGUGGAUCCGAAGCGAAAGCGAGUCUGAACAGGGCGGAUAGUCGGAAGGAGUAGACGCGAAACCAAGUGAUCUACCCUUGGGCAGGUUGAAGGUUAGGUAACACUAACUGGAGGACCGAACCGAUAAGCGUUGAAAAGCUUCCGGAUGACCUGAGGGUGGGGGUGAAAGGCUAAUCAAACUUGGAGAUAGCUCGUACUCCCCGAAAUGCAUUUAGGUGCAGCCUUGAGAGUUACUAAUGUGAGGUAGAGCGACUGAUAAGAUGCGAGGGCUUCACCGCCUAUCAAGUCUUGAUAAACUCCGAAUGCGCAUUAGUUCUAUCUCAGGAGUGAGGGCAUGGGUGCUAAGGUCCAUGUCCUAAAGGAGAAGAAUCCAGACCAUCAGCUAAGGUCCCCAAAUAAACACUAAGUUGAACUAACGAAGUCAGAUUGCUAAGACAGCUAGGAUGUUGGCUUGGAAGCAGCCAUUCAUUUAAAGAGUGCGUAACAGCUCACUAGUCGAGGAGUUUGGCGUGGAUAAUAAUCGGGCAUUAAGUGUUUUACCGAAGCUAUGGGAUCCUAAUGGAUCGGUAGGGGAGCAUUCCACUCUGCGUUGAAGGCGAAGCGUGAGCUUUACUGGAGCGUGUGGAAAAGCAAAUGUAGGUAUAAGUAACGAUAAGGGGGGUGAGAAACCCCCUCGCCGCAAGACUAAGGUUUCCUGAUCAACGCUAAUCGGAUCAGGGUUAGUCGGGUCCUAAGGCUCAGCCGAACGGUGAGGCCGAUGGCAGAACAGGUUAAUAUUCCUGUACUACCUGUAGGAGUGAUGUGGAGACGGAGGAGUGACAACGCCGCGGACUGACGGAAUAGUCCGUUAAAGGGUGUAGAUGUUGAUUAUCCCAGGCAAAUCCGGGAUAAGAGUCGAACCUGACAGUAUACCAAUUUCCUCGGAAAACGGUAAUAGUGCGUGUAAACAUACUCCCAAGAAAAUCCGCUAAACUUAAUCUUACAGGUACCCGUACCGUAAACGGACACACGUAGUCGGGUUGAAUAUACUCAGGCGCUUGAGUGAAUCACGGUUAAGGAACUAGGCAAAUUGACCCUGUAACUUCGGGAUAAAGGGUCCCUACCCGGUGACGGGAGGGCGCAGAGAAUAGGUCCAGGCAACUGUUUAACAAAAACACAGGGCUGUGCAAAAUUGAAAGAUCACGUAUACAGCCUGACACCUGCCCGGUGCUGGAAGGUUAAGAGGAGAUGUCAUCGCAAGAGAAGCAUUGAAUUGAAGCCCCAGUAAACGGCGGCCGUAACUAUAACGGUCCUAAGGUAGCGAAAUUCCUUGUCGGGUAAGUUCCGACCUGCACGAAUGGUGUAAUGAUCUGGACACUGUCUCAACCGUGAGCUCAGUGAAAUUGUAGUAUCGGUGAAGAUGCCGAUUACCCGCGAUGGGACGAAAAGACCCCGUGAACCUUUACUAUAGCUUAACAUUGAAUUUGGGUAAUUGAUGUGUAGGAUAGGCCGGAGACUUUGAAGCAGGUACGCCAGUAUUUGUGGAGUCGCUGUUGAAAUACGGCCCUUUGGUUAUUUGAGUUCUAACUCCAAAAAUGGAGGACACUGUUUGGUGGGUAGUUUGACUGGGGUGGUCGCCUCCAAAAGCGUAACGGAGGCUUCUAAAGGUGCCCUCACGCCGAUUGGUAACCGGCGGUAGAGUGUAAUGGCAUAAGGGCGCUUGACUGGGAGACUUACAAGUCGAUCAGGUAGGAAACUAGAGCAUAGUGAUCCGGUGUUUCCGUAUGGAAGGGACAUCGCUCAAAGGAUAAAAGGUACUCCGGGGAUAACAGGCUGAUCCCUCCCAAGAGCUCAUAUCGACGGAGGGGUUUGGCACCUCGAUGUCGGCUCGUCACAUCCUGGGGCUGGAGAAGGUCCCAAGGGUUGGGCUGUUCGCCCAUUAAAGUGGCACGCGAGCUGGGUU